GACGAACGCUGGCGGCGUGCUUAACACAUGCAAGUCGAACGGAAAGGCCCUGCUCUUGUGGGUUGCUCGAGUGGCGAACGGGUGAGUAACACGUGAGUAACCUGCCCUUGACUUUGGGAUAAAUUCAGGAAACUGGGGCUAAUACCGGAUAGGAGCUCCUGCUGCACGGUGGGGGUUGGAAAGUUUCGGCGGUUGGGGAUGGACUCGCGGCUUAUCAGCUUGUUGGUGGGGUAGUGGCUUACCAAGGCUUUGACGGGUAGCCGGCCUGAGAGGGUGAACGGCCACAUUGGGACUGAGGUACGGCCCAGACGCCUACGGGAGGCAGCAGUGGGGAAUAUUGCACAAUGGGCGGAAGCCUGAUGCAGCAACGCCGCGUGCGGGAUGACGGCCUUCGGGUUGUAAACCGCUUUCGCCUGUAACGAAGCGUGAGUGACGGUAAUGGGUAAAAAAGCACCGGCUAACUACGUG
This 468-nucleotide ribosomal RNA is filed under the name uncultured bacterium. Its description in RNAcentral is "partial 16S ribosomal RNA". It matches the Rfam family "Bacterial small subunit ribosomal RNA", at positions 28 to 507 of the family's 1533-position model. The record is from RNAcentral.